GGAAAUGUAGUUCAGUGGUAGAAUAUACACCUCUCAUGUGUCAGACGGAAGUUCGAUUCUUUCCAUUUCUG
Non-coding RNA from Sclerotinia borealis F-4128, 71 nucleotides. Lineage: Eukaryota; Fungi; Ascomycota; Leotiomycetes; Helotiales; Sclerotiniaceae. The record is from the annotation of a GenBank genome assembly.